CAAGAUACGGGGCAGGGUCGUGGGGAAGACGGUGGGAGGGAGAGGUGUCGGGAUUCAUUGGGCUGAAAGAGCUGGUAGGGGGGUUGGUAAGGCGGAUGGAGAACCGCGAGGCUCAACCUGGAGGCGCCAUCCGAUACUGCCAGGGCUAGAGUCCGGUAGGGGCCCACGGAAUUCCUGGUGUAGCGGUGAAAUGCGCAGAUAUCAGGAGGAACACCGGUGGCGAAGGCGGUGGGCUGGGCCGGCACUGACGCUGAGGAGCGAAAGCGUGGAGAGCGAACAGGAUUAGAUUCCCCAGUAGUC
This 300-nucleotide ribosomal RNA is filed under the name uncultured Methanotorris sp. Its description in RNAcentral is "partial 16S ribosomal RNA". The stretch from base 51 to 300 matches the Rfam family "Bacterial small subunit ribosomal RNA", at positions 547 to 795 of the family's 1533-position model. Lineage: Archaea; Methanobacteriati; Methanobacteriota; Methanococci; Methanococcales; Methanocaldococcaceae. The record is from RNAcentral.